Molecule: ribosomal RNA, 118 nt
Filed under: Scenedesmus sp. SSKV3
Lineage: Eukaryota; Viridiplantae; Chlorophyta; Chlorophyceae; Sphaeropleales; Scenedesmaceae
Description: 5.8S ribosomal RNA
Rfam family: 5.8S ribosomal RNA
About the family: 5.8S ribosomal RNA (5.8S rRNA) is a component of the large subunit of the eukaryotic ribosome. It is transcribed by RNA polymerase I as part of the 45S precursor that also contains 18S and 28S rRNA. Functionally, it is thought that 5.8S rRNA may be involved in ribosome translocation.
Source: RNAcentral
GAACGCAGCGAAAUGCGAUACGUAGUGUGAAUUGCAGAAUUCCGUGAACCAUCGAAUCUUUGAACGCAUAUUGCGCUCGAGCCCUCGGGCAAGAGCAUGUCUGCCUCAGCGUCGGUUU